RNAcentral lists this transfer RNA (70 nucleotides) under Gonorynchus abbreviatus (bighead beaked sandfish). RNAcentral's name for it is "tRNA-His". It matches the Rfam family "tRNA". Rfam says of the family: Transfer RNA (tRNA) molecules are approximately 80 nucleotides in length. Their secondary structure includes four short double-helical elements and three loops (D, anti-codon, and T loops). Lineage: Eukaryota; Metazoa; Chordata; Actinopteri; Gonorynchiformes; Gonorynchidae. The record is from RNAcentral.
GUAGGCAUAGUUUUAACAAAAAUAUUAGAUUGUGGUUCUGAAGUUGGAGGUUAAAGUCCCCCUGCCCACC